AUACUUUAUCAAAAAGAGCUGAAAAUAUUCCUAAAGCUGGAAUACAGUAACACAAGUUCACAUAUUAAAUUUCAUGAUUUUUGGAUAUACCCAUAAUUUACUAAAAAUCAUGGAAGGUUUAUUCAUUAAUAAACAGAGGUAAUUUUUACAUACAUGCAAACUACCAGAAAAUAUAAUUAACUAUUUUUCAUGUGUCCUACUCAUUUUAAGGAAGCCAUACAAAAAUUCUCAUAAUUUUUGGAUCAGCAUAAAAUUUACUACACAAAUUCAAAUAUAAAUAAAAAACUGCAUAAAAAGAAAAAGAAAAAGAUUACUGCGCAGUGGGCUGCUUGGAAACUGGGCCGCAGACCGGACCACUGCUUCCGGCCCGCAUCCGCGCUGCGCACACCCGCGCCCUCUCCCUCACGCGGGACGCUGACAGGCAAACCCCACC
Molecule: long non-coding RNA, 433 nt
Filed under: Sorghum bicolor (sorghum)
Lineage: Eukaryota; Viridiplantae; Streptophyta; Magnoliopsida; Poales; Poaceae
Description: long non-coding RNA (SBIC_LNC001614)
Source: RNAcentral